UACGUAGGGUGCGAGCGUUAAUCGGAAUUACUGGGCGUAAAGCGUGCGCAGGCGGUUUUGUAAGCCAGAUGUGAAAUCCCCGGGCUUAACCUGGGAAUGGCAUUUGGGACUGCAAGGCUAGAGUGUGGCAGAGGAGACUGGAAUUCCUGGUGUAGCAGUGAAAUGCGUAGAUAUCAGGAGGAAUACCGAUGGCGAAGGCAGGUCUCUGGGCUAACACUGACGCUCAUGCACGAAAGCGUGGGGAGCAAACAGG
Molecule: ribosomal RNA, 253 nt
Filed under: uncultured bacterium
Lineage: Bacteria
Description: partial 16S ribosomal RNA
Rfam family: Bacterial small subunit ribosomal RNA
Source: RNAcentral